CCGCGGCCGGAAGUGCUGGGGGCGCGCGGGGGUCUCGGAGGCGGGGACAAAGACCCGGAGCGGCGGCGACGCCGCCCUGUGGCAGGAAGAGGCGUGCGCCCGGGUCCCGCCGUGGGAGUCCAGGUCGCACCGGGCUGGCUCCAGAGAUGCUAUCCCCAAAUGGGCCUCUGGAGGACAAAUCUUUUGGUGAACAUUCAUUCCUGAGGUACCCCAGGCUUAGAGGACCCACAGACUCUGGAAUCCAUAUUACAGCAUUUGUUUCAGUGGAUUGGGAUCAACUGCUUGAAUAUUUACCCUCCAGAUCAGUGUUCUUACAGGAGGGAUACUGCUCCCUAAGGAAUGUUUUGAGCUAUAUGGGUGUUUUAUGGAUGCAAUGACAAGAGGGUACUAUUUCCACUUAGUGCCUGGGUUUUGGGGAUGCUGAUGUUCUGUAAUGCUGGGACAAUCCUGCCGAGUGAAGAAUGUCUCAUGUCCUGCAGGAUCUUGAGGAGAUCAAUCAGAUACUCCUGUAGGAAACAAACCUGUUUAUAAUGACCUGAGUUUGGAACCCAACUCUGUUUUAUAAAUAAACUCCUUUUUGUGUGAUCUUAACUUGUUCAAUUGUCCAGGAAUACAAAUCAAGGGAAGAAUAAAAUUUACUUUGUUCAAAACUUUAACAAGACUUGAUCACCAUUUUGGAGGUAACAUCGGAGAUGGCAACAUGACUUGUGACUGAGAAAGAAGAAAUUAACCCAGAUGCCUGUGGCAACUAAGAAUUUUGCUUGACCUGGCCUGGCGCAGUGGCUCAUACCUGUAAUCCCAACACUUUGGGAGGCUGAGGCAGGAGGACUGCUUGAGCCCAGGAGUUCCAGACUAGCCUGAGCAACAUAGCAAGACCCUAUCUCUACAAAAAAUUAGAAAGUUAGCUGGGAAUGGUGGCUCAUGACUGCAUUCCCAGCUACUCGGGAGGCUGAAGUAGGAUGAUUGCUUGACCCUGUCUCAAAAAAAAAAAAAAAGAAAAAAAAAAAGAAUUUUGCUUGACGCCAUACAGCACACCUGUAUUCAUCUGCAUUUGUGAAUGUCACCAUCACUGUGAUUCAUGGUCUAUUAAGAUCUACUUUUUUAGCUCUUAUUUUUAAAUGUCAAAGAUAAAAACUGUGGCCUGAAUAUUAUCAUACCUCUCUCAAAUCCAAACUUACUUGUUAAAAGUAGAUGCAAGCAUGUGACCGCUUUAUAAUGUCUUUUAGAGUAUUAGGCCUGAGCAUUUAUGUAUUGAAACACAUUAUUUUAUUACAGUAUUCCUUUUAUUUCUCUUUCAUAUUACAGUAGCAGCAUUAUAUUGAUUUUGUUUUUUCAUUACGUGUAUAAGUGGUUUAGAUUAUCCAUGAAUUUCAUUUCAGGAUGGCAAAGAGGAUAUUCAAAAUAUUUGUUAUAAAAAGGGAGCAUCUGGCAGCAUUGAGAACCACUCUAAGGUUCAGGAGGCAGGGACUUCACCUCCCCUGGGUCACUCCAUUCUUCUUUGUGUCUAGCAUAGGGUCUGGAAUAUCACAGAUGCAUAGAGAAUCUUUUUUGAAUGAGUGAUGAAGGAAUUGAGGCUGAUACUCUGGUUUGGUUACCACCUAGGUAGGUGAUGAGGCCCUCUGCUGAGAUGGGAACACAGGAGAGAGGGCAGGUUUUGGAGAGAGUAAUGAGUUCAGUUUUCAUUGUGAAAGUUUGGAGAGCCCUGAGAUUUCUAGGUGGCGGGGCCUGAGGGCCAGUGGCUCUGUGGGCCUUGAUUUCUCUCUCAAGGCCACGGAAGAGUGGAAAUGCAAAGUCAUAGUAACAAUUCAUCUUUUUAAUCAGUAAUCAUUGCUGAGUCUCUCCAUGCAGUAUGAAUAGACCAGUGAGAGCUGCCCUGAGUGUCUCCCUGCUCCUGUGGCGAUCUGUGUACCUGCCCAGACCCUCAGAGGCUAGGAACUCCCUCCAAGUUAGGGGAUAGAAAUGCUUCAUCUCUAGCCCCUCUGACUUCCUGUCCAAUCCUGACAUAGUAGGUGGCUCAGCAAUGACGGCUGGAGGGACCACACAGUAAAACCCAUCUGUGGAAACACGAGUAUUCAGGGUAACUUUUUUUGGCCUGAAGUCACUGCAGUGGAACAUUUGGGAGUGAGUUUCCUCAGGGCCCAGCUCCUUCCCGCUAGGCUCUGCCAUGUCUCCUGUUUAUUAACAGGGAGGUAUGACAAAGGGAAAAAUCUCUUGAUUGAAGACUCAUCUCAGACAUCUUUUCACUCCUCCAGGGAAGCGUGCAAUUUUGGGCUUUAAUGACGUAUGACGGGGCACGGGCAGUGGAGGUGGUGUGCAUUUUAGGUAAUACAUGUGCUGCUAGAAAGUUGAGGUAUAAGGACUUUUUAGGAACACAAUUUUUAUUGACAAGUAACAUUUCAAGAACAAUAAAGGAAAUCAGAAA
Molecule: long non-coding RNA, 2422 nt
Organism: Rhinopithecus roxellana (golden snub-nosed monkey)
Lineage: Eukaryota; Metazoa; Chordata; Mammalia; Primates; Cercopithecidae
Exons: 3
Source: RefSeq, a predicted model, not a curated record